UCAGACCGUUUUAAAGAGAGCCAGCGGCGAGGAGACUGGAUGUAUGGAAGAGGACGGGGGAGGCGUGCGUUUCUGCAGCAGAUUGAGGCGCUGCGGCUUAAGAUGUCAACACAAGGCAAAAUGGUCUGCUGGGUGCAGAAAACGGGAAUGUAAUGUCACCAUAAGCCCCACGCUGAGGAUGUGAAACCCAAUUCCGGGUGGGAUUGAUCCUUGUCUGGCCACAGUGGGGCUAAGACCAGAGGGAGAAGAUAAGAUAAGACGCUGAGUGGUCAACGAUACGUUCCAACCAUCAACUUCUACUGUAAACAGUUUGCUGCAGAGGUGUCUGGACAUUAUAAGCAUUAGCUGUGCUGAACUGUGGCUCGGAGGUCGGAGCAGGAAGUGGCACUUCAACAUAUUUCCCCUCUGAUCCGCUGGGACAGAGCCACUUCCUGUAAAACAGGUGGAGGAAGGCAGCAUGGAACUACUGCCACAGAUUGGUCUACUUUCACCUCAGUCAACCUGUUUUCCACUUGGACUCGGUAAAUUCCAGCUGGUAAAAUGUAUUUCUCUAUGCCAUAACUGGCAAAUUUAAAAUGAAACCCUGCCAAGGGAGCUUUAACUGCGAAGGCGAAUACGACAUUGUGGCUUUGGAGAGUAUAGAAUUUAAAAGGGGGGUCAUUAUCAGCUACUGA
Fundulus heteroclitus (mummichog) is the source of this 674-nucleotide long non-coding RNA. RefSeq lists it as uncharacterized. The transcript has 3 exons. NCBI's taxonomy places the organism in Eukaryota, Metazoa, Chordata, Actinopteri, Cyprinodontiformes, Fundulidae. The record is from RefSeq and is a predicted model, not a curated record.